RNAcentral lists this ribosomal RNA (253 nucleotides) under uncultured bacterium. Its description in RNAcentral is "partial 16S ribosomal RNA". It matches the Rfam family "Bacterial small subunit ribosomal RNA", at positions 524 to 776 of the family's 1533-position model. The record is from RNAcentral.
UACGUAGGGUGCGAGCGUUGUCCGGAAUUAUUGGGCGUAAAGAGCUCGUAGGCGGUCUGUCACGUCGGCUGUGAAAUCCCGAGGCUCAACCUCGGGUCUGCAGUCGAUACGGGCAAACUAGAGUAUUGCAGGGGAGACUGGAAUUCCUGGUGUAGCGGUGAAAUGCGCAGAUAUCAGGAGGAACACCGGUGGCGAAGGCGGGUCUCUGGGCAAUAACUGACGCUGAGGAGCGAAAGCGUGGGGAGCAAACAGG